This is a regulatory RNA element of Ruminococcus flavefaciens 007c, 116 nucleotides long. It matches the Rfam family "THF (Tetrahydrofolate) riboswitch aptamer". From Rfam's summary of the family: THF riboswitch presents a pseudoknot that joins P1-P2 and the loop of P3 and two THF binding. NCBI's taxonomy places the organism in Bacteria, Bacillati, Bacillota, Clostridia, Eubacteriales, Oscillospiraceae. The record is from Rfam.
UGAAGAGUAAAAAUGCGUUCGUUAUACCCUGCGGGUAUUACAGUGUUGACCGAACGGGGAGUUGUCGGUCAAACGAAAAGCUUCGGCUUGCGGUUCGUAUUUUGCAUCCCGCUUCA